Molecule: long non-coding RNA, 3062 nt
Filed under: Triticum aestivum (bread wheat)
Lineage: Eukaryota; Viridiplantae; Streptophyta; Magnoliopsida; Poales; Poaceae
Description: long non-coding RNA (TAES_LNC009350)
Rfam family: MIR1120/MIR1122 microRNA precursor family (bases 1977-2111)
Source: RNAcentral
UACUUUUUUGUUUCGUGCCACUUGCAAGUUGACCUUCGCCUCGCGAUUGUUUUUUUUGUAGUUGUAGUAACGCCAGUUGCAAGUCCAUCAUCGACUCGCAACUCGGCUCGUAGUUUUUUUUUUCACGUCACUUGCAAGUCGACCCUCGACUUGGGGGCAAAAUGAUGAGAUAGAUGGGGUUCAUAUCUACUUGAUACAGAGAGGAUACAAUUUAUAAUUUUUUCCCAAGCACUUUACUCAUUUUAUUUGGUCCAAAAGAAUAACCGACUUAAAUCUUUGUUUCUACUGGACAAAAGGGAUAGCAUGUUAACCACCAACUGAAAUUUAUUUGUUAGUCAGUAAGAGGAUUUGAUGGUGUUGCAAACUCAUGACCCUGAGAGGCGAAUGAGUAAGGUGGAAUCAACUGCAGAAAUUGUUGUCCAUUGUUUUGCAUUUGAAAAAGCCUCAGGUCAAACACCACUGCUGGGUACUGGGAUGCACAGGCUACAAUCAAAACAAAGCAGUAAGUUCAUCUCAUGUUUUUUCCUGUCAUUUUUGUUUUUAUGGUCCCAUGUGUAUUUAUGAAUCAAUAUUUAUUUAUUUUUCUUUUUUCCCAAAUCAUACCUGAGUGCCAACGUAGUCCCCUGCAUAGCUAUCUUCAUUUCCCGCGGUCAUCAGUUUUUACAAAAUUUAACAUUAUGCUUUUCUUCGCCUAAAGAUUUUAUGGAAUGGAGGAGCACACCCCUAAGUCUUUUUCUUAGGGGCAACAUGGUAACAUUUGUCAUAUGUUGUUUUCUUUCUUAUCAGGUGCCAACACUUCUUUUGUGAACAUGCAUAAUACACUGAGAUGCAGUCAAAUUCUAAGUUCUUCUUUCUUAGAUGAAAAAUUCUAAAUUCAGAGUCAGCACUUUUUAUUUUGUUCUCUAACAAGGUAAUGAUGCAUCUUUUCCUCUUUCUUUUCCCUAGUGAGGCCAAAUAUAUUUUCUUGAUCAGGUUGUAUAUAGAAAUGUAGUUACAGUUUUUUUGGAAAGGCAAUGUUUUUUGCUGAAUAAAUGGGAACAAAUGCCAUCUGAAAGUUGUUGCACGCAAACUGGAACAAGGAGGUGUUUUUGUUCUGAUCUUUCAGUUAGCACAUGUAUGAAGCUCAACCCAUCUGAAACAAACAAGCUAUCUGGCAUGUAAAAGAUAGUGAUAUGCAGUUUUUCUCUGACCAGUUUCUAAGGCUAGAUCAGUUUUCUGAGCCUAGAUCACACUGACAUGCACUUUAUUUAGGCGCAACAACACAAUGUUGUCUGUGUGUUCAUGUAGAUAUGGUCUGCUUAGAAAGACUUUGCUCUGAUUUUUUUGACGACAAAAAACUGUUUAACUGUUGUGUGUUUUUUCCAGAGACCAGGACCAUAUGUUUGAUGGAAAAAGAAAGGAUAAUCAUGAGCAAAAAAUAAAGAUCUACCAUCAGAAAUUAUCUAGAAGGUUGUACACGAUCUUGCCAGAAAGGAUCUACAAGGAGAGGCCAAAUUUUGUACUUGGGUUUUCGCAACUUUUCGUCAGCCACCUAAGCUUCUUUUGCAACUGUUUUUUUUUCUGCCAACAAGGCCCAGGUCUGUGCGCACAUGUUGCUCUUUUUUUUUGUCAAACAAACAAAUAGACAAAUAAAGCCCAACAAACAAGGUCCAGGGGCAGGGGGUAGUUCGGCUGGGUGGGGUGGACUGGCCAGACACAAACAAACAAUACAAACAAGCGUCUAUGUGUGUGAGGGUGAUCGGGUGCAACCAGGCUGGUUGUUUGAUUAGAGGAUGAUGUCAGCUUAGUCUCACAUCUAGAUGCAACAUAGACAGACCCUAUUCAGGACCUCUUAACUGGCUUUAUCCUCUCUUUUAACCUGUCAAUUAUUUCCGUCUCGGUGUUUAAUUCUGUCUCAUUGGGUUGGAACUGCAGGAGCCAUGCCCUUGAUUCUUGCUCCGAAAGUGGACCUGGAGAAAUUUUUGGUUCGACGAUGUAAGAUACUCCCUCCGUUCCGAAUUACUUGUCUUAGAUUUGUUUAAAUACGGAUGUAUCUAGCAUUAAAAUGAGUCUAAAUACAUCAGUAUCUAGACAAAUUCAAGACAAGUAAUUCGGAACGGAGGGAGUAUUACUUAGUGCGUUUGGUCAUGGUACUGUUUCCCCAAAGGUGGUUAUUUCUUCAUUUUUGAAUCAUGCUUGUUGUGUGCUGAUGGUGCGUGAGGAACGCCAUGGUUCUUCUCUGAAUCAUUUGGUAGUUCUCUCAAUCUUGUGCAUUUUGUUCUCUAAAACAUGUGGUAUUUCUAGGUGCACAGCAUGUUGUGUGGUGGAUAGGGGAAGCUGAGGCGACGACUGGCGACUGUUCUCUUUACAACUGGCGUGGUUGAGAGGCUAGGGAGUAGGUCAUUUUGCUAUUUGGUCAGCGAUGGAGAUGAAUUCGGGAGAGAUGUGGCUGGGAGUUGUACCGGUCAUUUUUCUGUCUCUAUAUUAUCCAUUUGCACUAAUCGGUAACAGUUUUUUGAGCAGGCAAUAGUGUAGCAUGCAUGAACAGAAAAAUUGUAUAAGGCGAGGAGGACAAUCUGAGCGACCAACAUUAUGUUUUUUUACAGAACGACCAACAUUAUGUUGAGUAUUGAGAUGUAGGUAAGGCACGUAUAAUCUGAAUUGAGCCAUAUGGAGGGCAUGUAUAGUCUGUAUGUGCAGUCUUAAUUGUAUGUUGAAUUCUUCGCUACUAGGAAAAGGGCUAUAGCUAAUAUGGUAUAGCAGUGGCGCACCAUGUGUAGGUACGCCAUUAAUGUCCAUAUCACUAAUGGCGUACCACACCCAUGGUGCGCCAUUACUAACAUUUUUUUUCCAAAACUAGUAAUGGCGCACCACACACUCUGUGCGUCACUACUAACAAUUUUUUUUAUUUUUUUUCAAAACUAGUAAUGGCGCAUUAGUGUAUAGUGCGCCAUUACUAGUUCAAACUAGUAAUGGCGCACCACAACCAUGGUGCGCCACUACUAACAUUUUUUUUACUUUUUUGCAAAAACUAGUAAUGGCGCAUCACAUAAUAGGUGCGCCAUUUAAAAGAUCGUGAAUGU